Molecule: ribosomal RNA, 406 nt
Filed under: uncultured bacterium
Lineage: Bacteria
Description: partial 16S ribosomal RNA
Rfam family: Bacterial small subunit ribosomal RNA
Source: RNAcentral
AUUGAACGCUGGCGGCAGGCCUAACACAUGCAAGUCGAACGAGUGGCGGACGGGUGAGCAAGUGCUGGGAAACUGCCUGAUGGAGGGGGAUAACUACGAGAAAAGGUAGCUAAUAACGCAUACGUUCGGCUGUGCCAAGAUGGGAUUAGCUAGCAGGUGGGGUAAAGGCUCACCUAGGCGACGAUCCCUAGCUGGUCUGAGAGGAUGACCAGCCACACUGGAACUGAGACACGGUCCAGACUCCUACGGGAGGCAGCAGUGGGGAAUAUUGCACAAUGGGCGAAAGCCUGAUGCAGCCAUGCCGCGUGUAUGAAGAAGGCCUUCGGGUUGUAAAGUACUUUCAGUCGGGAGGCGUUACCGACAGAAGAAGCACCGGCUAACUCCGUGCCAGCAGUCGCGGUAAUUC